UCCCAGUCCUUCCCAGUCCCACCCCGGUCCCACACCAGUCAAUUCCAGUCCCAUCCCAGUCCCUCCCAGACCCAUCCCAGUCCCACCCCAGUCCGUCCCAGUGCUCCCAGUACCGUGGUGAGCUCCCCGAGGUGGUUGAGGGCCCCGAGGGCGUAGAGCUGCUCCAGUGCCAACAGCAGAGCCUCGUGGGGUGGGGGGUCCAGGAAGUCGAAGUGGAUGAGGUCAUUGAUGCCUGCGGGGGCACCCAGUGUCACCCAGUGUCACCCAGUGUCACCCAAUGGAACACCCAAAGGAACCCAAUGGAAGACAAUGGCAGCCAAUGGCAGCCAAUGGCACCCAAUGGCACCCAAUGGAAACCAAUGCCACUCAAUGGCACCCAAUGGCACCCAAUGGCACCCAAUGGCACCCAAUGGAACUUAAUGGAACCCAAUGGAAACCAAUGGAACCUAAUGGAACCCAGUGGAACCCAAUGGAACCCAAUGGAACUCCAAUGGAACCCAGUGGAACCCAAUGGAACCCAAUGGAACUCCAAUGGAACCCAAUGGAACCCAGUGGAACCCAGUGGAACCCAAUGGAACCCAAUGGAACUCCAAUGGAACCCAAUGGCACCCAAUGGAACUUAAUGGAACCCAGUGGAACCCAAUGGCACCCAGUGGAACCCAAUGGAACUCCAAUGGAACCCAAUGGAACCCAGUGGAACUCCAAGGGAACCCAAUGGCACCCAAUGGAACUCCAAGGGAACCCAAUGGAACCCAGUGGAACCCAAUGGCACCCAGUGGAACCCAAUGGCACCCAGUGGAACCCAAUGGAACUCCAAUGGAACCCAAUGGAACCCAAUGGAACCCAGUGGAACCCAAUGGAACCUAGUGGAACCCAAUGGAACUCCAAGGGAACCCAAUGGCACCCAAUGGAACUCCAAGGGAACCCAAUGGCACCCAAAGGAACCCAGUGGAACCCAAUGGCACCCAAUGGCACCUAUACAUCCCAUAAUGGUCUCACACUUCCCCCAUAGCUCCCAUAGUGCCCCUAUAAGUCCCAUAAUGGUCCCAUAAUGCCCCCAUAGGUCCCAUAACGAUCCCAUAAUGCCCCCAUAGGUCCCAUAAUGCCCCCAUAGGUCCCAUAAUGCCCCCACAGGUCCCAUAAUGAUCCCAUAAUGCCCCCAUAGGUCCCAUAAU
This 1175-nucleotide long non-coding RNA is filed under the name Phasianus colchicus (ring-necked pheasant). RNAcentral describes it as "lncRNA (ENSPCLG00000017027.1)". The record is from RNAcentral. Lineage: Eukaryota; Metazoa; Chordata; Aves; Galliformes; Phasianidae.